AUGCUUAAGGCUGCGGAGGUACAAAUCAAGAAGGAGCAUCAAGUGUUGAUGGUUAACAAGACCACUAGUUUUAAGAAAAAGGGCAAAGGGAAGAAAGGGAACUUCAAGAAGAAUAGCAAGCAAGUUGCUGCUCCCAGGAAGAAGCACAAGUCUGGACCUAAGCCUGAAACUAAGUGCUUCUACUACAAAGGGACUGGUCACUGGAAGCAGAACUGCCCCAAGUAUUUGGCGGAUAAGAAGGAUGGCAAAGUGAAAGGUAUAUUUGAUAUACAUGUUAUUGAUGUGUACCUUACUAAUGCUCGUAGUAGUGCCUCGUUAUUUGAUACUAGUUCUGUUGCUCACAUUUGCAACUCGAAACAUGGGCUACUGAUUAAACAAAGAUUGGCUAAGGACGAGGUGACGAUGCGCGUCGGAAAUGGUUCCAAGGUCGAUAUGAUCGCCAUCGGCACGCUACCUCUACAUCUACCUAUGGGAUUAGUUUUGGACCUGAAUAAUUGUUAUUUGGUGCCAACGUUAAGCAUGAACAUUAUAUCUGGAUCUUGUUUGAUGCGACACGGUUAUUCAUUUAAAUCAGAGAAUAAUGGUUGUUCUAUUUAUAUGAGUAAUAUCUUUUAUGGUCAUGCACCCUUGAUGAGUGGUCUAUUUUUGUUGAAUCUCGAUCGUAGUGAUACACAUAUUCAUAAUAUUGAAGACAAAAGAUGCAAAGUUAAUAAUGAUAGUGCAACAUAUCUGUGGCACUGCCAUUUAGGUCAUAUUGGUGUAAAGCGCAUGAAGAAAUUCCAUGCUGAUGGGCUUUUGGAAUCACUUGAUGCUUGUGAAGCAUGCCUCAUGGGCAAGAUGACUAAAGACUCCGUUCUCCGGAACAAUGGAGCGAGCCACUGA
RNAcentral lists this ribosomal RNA (882 nucleotides) under Triticum aestivum (bread wheat). RNAcentral's name for it is "partial small subunit ribosomal RNA". The record is from RNAcentral. Lineage: Eukaryota; Viridiplantae; Streptophyta; Magnoliopsida; Poales; Poaceae.